This is a long non-coding RNA of Helianthus annuus (common sunflower), 1384 nucleotides long. RefSeq lists it as uncharacterized. The record is from RefSeq and is a predicted model, not a curated record. Lineage: Eukaryota; Viridiplantae; Streptophyta; Magnoliopsida; Asterales; Asteraceae. The transcript has 6 exons.
AACACCCGGUUGCUACCCUAUACACCUGGGCCUUCCAUCGAGUCCCCCGCCCACACAACUUGGUACUUAUUCCCGCUUCUUCUCCCCUCCAAAAGCAAAAUCAGUGCAGGGUUGCUUGAUAAUUUGGGUAUCCCAUGAGUCAUCAUUGAGCACUCUGAAAGGAGAGCUAUAUUUUAUGAAAGAAAUGUUGCAGGCAAAAUUAAAAUCAAUGGAGGCACAACUCAGUGAAGCCCUUUAGUCCAGUGGGAACAAGUACAAAAACAACUCAGACUCAACGGAAGGCAUAUAGGCUGCAGCUGUAACCAAGAAGCUUGAAGAAGAACUCCUGAAAUGAGAUGCCCUUGUUGAGUAUCCCAAUGCCUGUUUUUGAGCGGAACACCUAAAAUGGAGUAUGUGAGAGAGGAAGGAGAGGGAAGGGGGCGUUUAUGAGGCUGUGAGAGGGGCAAUCUGGUAAACUAUCCAAGUGGAGGCGAUUUUGAGACCCUCCAUUUGUGGAUGCUAUUAGUGUAUAGACCGCAGUAAGACGUUUCUUGUUGCAGCUGACAUGGAACCGUCAAAGAUGGAUAUCUAUAAGGCUCGAGCUGAAGUGGCUUCUACCAAAGGAACUGAUGUAAAUAUGCAGGAUGCUCCUGUGACUCAGAAUGGUACUCAAGAGAGAGGAGAUUAUCCUGCUUAGAUGGAAGCAGAUGCCAAGGUUAGUAGUAACACAUGUAUUGCUACCUUUUGUCUGUAUAUCUGUUUCAUCAACCGCAAACAUUUAAUAUUGCAAAAAUUUGUUGAUUACAAUUCGUUUUCCAUUUAUAACCCUCAAAAUGCUUUGGUAUCUACAAGCAAGAUGUGUUGCAGGGCACUCAACUUCUAGCCAUAGAUGUUGCUGCAGUACAAGAUUUCUAAGCUCUUAGAAGAACUUUGAACCGAUUUGGCAUUAGCAAUUGCAAUCGCCUUUCUCCUGCUGCCACCUGUGGUAUACGUGCCACCAUUUCCACGUGCCAGAAAAUGGUCGAGUGUAGAUGGAGAGGAUGACAUUUUAGAAAUCGAUUUGCUAGGACCAAGUCUUGAUUACCUCUUUGUCUAUUGACUUGUGUGGAGGAAAAUUCAAGGGCAGGUGCAACGGGUUUGGUUCUGAAGUAUAUGUUAGUGCUGUCUAGCAGAUCAACACAAGUAGAAACUUUAGAUAAGUUCUGAAAUCACGACGUGGUGGUUGCAAACAGAACACUAGAAGCAGCCCUCAAGGAUACCGAUUUGUUUGGAGUAAUAUGUGUCGAAGAGAUCAAGCUGAUAUGAGGUGUGAUCUCACUUUCCUCCAACAUCAGAUGCCAGUUCGGGUUUAUAUAUGAAGUGUCUUAGAUUAUGCUUUAUUGUAUCUGAAAUGGAUUAGUGUUUC